This 201-nucleotide ribosomal RNA is filed under the name uncultured bacterium. RNAcentral's name for it is "partial 16S ribosomal RNA". It matches the Rfam family "Bacterial small subunit ribosomal RNA", at positions 1300 to 1500 of the family's 1533-position model. The record is from RNAcentral.
GCAGGCUGCAACCCGCCUGCGUGAAGUUGGAAUCGCUAGUAAUCGCGGAUCAGCAUGCCGCGGUGAAUACGUUCCCGGGCCUUGUACACACCGCCCGUCACGCCAUGGGAGUCGGAAAUGCCCGAAGUCAGUGACCCAACCGUAAGGAGGGAGCUGCCGAAGGUGGAGCCGGUAACUGGGGUGAAGUCGUAACAAGGUAAC